GCGUUCUUUCCGUUCGUCUCUCGUUUCCUUUUAUUUGGUCGCUCGGGGGCAGCGGCAGCUCCGGAGUGCGAAGUGUGGGGGGUGGGGUGCGCCGGUGCGGGGAGGCCCGGUCGACAACUUCGCGCCGCCCCUGCUUCGUCCUCGCGGCGGCCCAGGGCCUGAGGAGGUGGAGAGGCUUCGCCGUGUCAAAGAAUUCAUCACGUGUUACAGACCAACAUGUCGUUAGAACGCAGCCAGCAGAGUCUUAGAAUACCUCAAUAGCUAACCCAGGUUUAGAGGACCGCGAAGAAACUCCCCCAAGUUGUCGACACGGUCCCCGUUCCAUUUUGGUCCGUUAAGUUAAUAACCCGUCUACUUUCGUUACCUAGCAAAAGGAGGUCGGUUACCACACAGUUCCCGAUACUACGGGGAAAGACGAAUAUACCCGUGAUUAACCAACUUAUGAAGUUCCGGGUCAAAAUUACGUAACGGUCCUGGCAAUCCACAAAGGUCGUAGGCGGCACGUAUGAGUAGUCUGUGACCUUAAUUCGGACUUCAGGGUUAACAAGGAGGGUGACUUUGACGACUCCAACCAUGACCUCCUUGGUGAACCUACCUGUAAAAACUUUUACGAGCGUUGAGGUGGUAACUACGAUGCUGACUACGUCCGUUCUUUCACUUCCUCUACUGACUACGUCAGUGUGGGGUACAAGUUUCAAAAGAACUCCGUUUAGGUCUAGAUCUUUUCCAUCAACAAGGUGAACCUCCUUGUAAUACACCAUGGGAAAACCGGACCAAACAGUACGGAUAGCAGAAGUUCUCCGAAGUAUUCAUACCAAGUGUCUUGGGCUAUAGUCGUGAAAACCCCUUGAGUCAGUUGUGGUUACGAAGUAUAUCGUGGUCGGAAACCUCACGUAACCUCCUAGGACGUUUUAUGAACUAGUGUAAAUACCGUAAAAGUCUCUACCGACGUCACUAGCGUGGUUCACAUAGUGGAAUAAAAGGUGUUCGAAACUCCCCACGUAAACAUAACAGUCAACAGACCAAAGAAGUAUCCACCUUUCGUUUGAAAUAGUGAUUUCGAUACCGGUUGGUUUGACGGAAUCAAUGACUAUCUCGUUCCAAUAGUCGAAAAUUGGUUCAGAGGAGUAACCCUGACUAACGUGAACCAUAUUACCCAGAACGACUCCGAACACCACAUCGACAAGUUAGUUAUAAUUGACAACCACCACACCCUCCACAACGAUGCCGAAAACGACGAUCUCUACAGAACCCGUUGCACAACUUACCCAAGAGGAAUGUUAAAAGAUCCGGUAAGAGUCAACCUCUUAUGUAUUUCCGACCCAGUUAUCUUCCGUGCCAUGAGCUUUAUCCUGAAUGAAGUUGAAACUACUACUCAGGUCUUUUCGAAGGAAAGUGUCAUGGGUUGAGAAACAAGAGUUCAGUCUAGUAUCACUUAUCUAGUGCUCGAGUCACCGCUCAUUCACACUGGUUCUAAGGAUAUUCUGAACUCCUAUAACUCUUCCAAGGACGACAUCGUCUCCUCUAGUUCCGAUACAAUUCCAGGUUGGGUUUUCAAUAGAACCUUUGUCUACGAGGAAUGACGAUGGACAGUUCUAACCUUUCAAGUAUACCUCUCGAACAGUAUCCCACGUAGGAGGUUUUUUACUCUUUCCUGCUCAACUAUAUACGUCUUGUCCUGUAAGAAGAUCCUCGACGGUCCUAAUAGUUCAGUGUACCGCAACUUAAACCUUCGUGGUGCGUCACGACGACUAAGACUACAAAAGAGUUUGAGUUCAUCCCACUUGCAGCAAUCGGACCUCCUCAUGUAUGCGCCUCCCAAUCUCCUCUAAAACGAACCACGCGCACGCUUCCGUCCCUGGAGAAAACCUUGGUUCCACCCUGAAAACAACGGACAGGAGUUAAGCCGUUUGUAUGUAGUAGGCAACGGCCUCUUAUAUCAGAACGCAAUGCUGUAAAACGAUGCAUGCGACUAUGAUGACGAAUCGCUCAUCAAAUGGUGCUAAGCAGUCACAAGUCAACACCAUUGAACUUUGUGUACCCCACCGUACUAGGUGACCUCCAGACGUAGUCCCGGGUCCUCAUAGGGCAAACCGGAACCUUGAGAUUUACGACCUUGCAGCUGUACGCACGUUCACAACAAAACUACGUACUGAUCCGCACUAUCUGUGGAAACAGGACUUAGCCACACAGCCCCUGGUACAACUGUGCGCAGCAAGCCGAAAAUAGAGAUCUAGACCGAUGAUAUCAGGAUACGUACACGAACAAUUAAACGAACAUCAUGAGGCAACUCAUGCAGUCUCUAAUUCCCAUACAAACCAAGAACGGGCAUCGGUUAUAACCGAGCGGUUAAUAAACCGCUCUCUAAGGUGGCGGUCCGAACCGG
RNAcentral lists this ribosomal RNA (2386 nucleotides) under Triticum aestivum (bread wheat). RNAcentral's name for it is "partial small subunit ribosomal RNA". Lineage: Eukaryota; Viridiplantae; Streptophyta; Magnoliopsida; Poales; Poaceae. The record is from RNAcentral.